Lolium perenne is the source of this 3161-nucleotide long non-coding RNA. RefSeq lists it as uncharacterized. The record is from RefSeq and is a predicted model, not a curated record. Lineage: Eukaryota; Viridiplantae; Streptophyta; Magnoliopsida; Poales; Poaceae.
CCUCCAAAUCCCCGCACGCCUCUCCCCCAAUGGCGGCUGCCCCUUCCUCUCCCGCUCGACCCUGCUCUCUCCUCGCACGCCGCAGCCCCGCCGCCUCCUCGUCUCGUUCCACAACCCUGCCGCCCCUCAGCCCCGCCGUCGCCGUCGCCUCGCGCCCCCAGCCCUGCCGCUAGCUCGCGUGCGUUCGCCGGCCGACCUCGGGCAGGGGCCAUCGACACGGGCAAGGAGCGGCGGGACUGGUCCCCGCAGGGAUGGCGUGGGAGGGCAGCGCGGGCGACCUCCACCCAGCACCUUCCCUUUGUGGCCGUCCAAUGGGAAGGAGCACGGGAGGCCGCCAGCCGCCGCCAUCCCUGGCUCCACAAAGACAGGCAGCAGCCGGGCUCAUCCGAGGGCGCUAGCUACAGGAAACUGAUGAGGAGGGGAUGUUAGCUAACAAGGGUGUCCUCUCACUGUCCAGAUCGAUGCCUCACCAAGAAAAAGGUGAUCUGGUGUUGAGAGAAAUACUAUGCCUUUUUGCCGCGGGAUUACAAGAAAAAAAGCGGCAACAAGGAUGCAAUGAACUUCCAUGAGAACCAAAGUAGCGCACGACGACACUGAAUAUAGUAGGUGCUGCCCUCGCAACCAGUGCAACACCUCCAGCACCAGGGCCACUACCGUGCAAAAUGGCGGCAUCAGCAGCUAGAGGUCACGGACAACAGCAAAGCAAUAUCCUUGAUGCAGCUAGAAGUUAGCAGGGAAAGAAUAAUAUCCGGUCAAUAAUAGCAAGUCAAAUAGUUACAUGGUUGUAGGGUACAGUUCUGAGAAUUAACUGAUGGCACUAUAUGGGCACUUUUGUUUGGUGCUUAACAGUUGAAUAUUAGUAUGCUGGAGAAACGGAGCUGCUGAGACUGGAUAUUAUUUGCCAAAGAUUAAUUUCUCUGUGCAGUUUGUGUGUAUGGUGAGAAGCGACCAGACUAGGCUGACCAUUUUAGUUGGAUUUACUACUAGGUAUUCAGCCCUUGAUACACACAUAGGUAUUACAAUUUGCUUAUAUUAUCAUAUUAAUUGUUGGAGGAAGAUGAAGGUAGUAGUCAGUUGCAGGUGUUAAGAGUAUUCAUGUGUACCAAGAAGCUCUAGGAGUUGGGAGGAAGGAGGAGUCCAGGGGCAUCCAUUGGCGGCGGCAGGAAGCUCAGGGUCGAGUUGGAGGUGAGCAGCAAGAGGCAUGCAAGAGGGUCACCAUCGCUGGAGCACACCAUAGCUCAGACCAUCACCACAAGAAAUGGAGUUUGACACCCUGAAGCAAACUAGGUAAAAGUUAUCUGAAUAAAAGUGUUAACAUGCUUGUUUGUGUGGUGUCUGAUGUGUGGGUGAGAGAAUGAGAGAAUAUUUUGAAUGGGUAAGGAAAAAUACCAUUACGUGUUCUUUUCUAUUGGGUAUCCAAGGAUCUGUUCAUUAUUUUCUCACUUUUCAACUAUGCAUGCCCAUACACACAAUCUUCAGUUGAGUAUUAUCGCAAAUAACGAAAGUUCAGCUGAACCAAUUGGGUGUCAUGGAUUUCUUGCAUCUCAGAUUUAUACUUACGAGAAAAUCACGAGUUUCUCAUAUUUUAGGCCACCGUGUAGAUAUCUUGGAAGGAUUUUCUUAAAGAAAAUGAAUGCUGGAGUGUAUGCUCAUAGGUAGAUGAGUUGUAAAGGAAUAAAAGUUUGGUUAGUGUAUUUAUACAGUAGCAUAAGUGGAGUCAUGAACACUGGAAGUACGCUCACGACUCAGCCAGGUUCUCGGUCUUCAAACAACAAUCAGCUGUGGUCUCUUUCUCAGGUAAUCCCUACCAGCUGGUGCACCCGUGUCUCUUUCUCAGAUUUCUUGUUCUACCGUGUUAACGAGUACAUGAACCUCAGGUGGCUGGGGUUUUCAUGAAACAUCACAUUCUGGUGGGCGUGGUUUCAUAGUAAGGAAUGAUUGUGGAGUGCUUAUUGUUGUAAGAGCAAAAUGAAUCAUGUCCGGCCUCCGUUGUUGUAACAUGAGGAGCACAGCCUGCUGCACCACGACGUCGAGCUCAUCUGGAGCCCAUCGGCGGAACGGCGGCCCGCAGAAGUAGCGCCGUCUGUUCCUUGAGCUGCCGCCACACGCUGUCUUGUCGCUAGGAGGAGCGUGUCGGUAAUCCACAUGAGGUGACAACUGAAGGAUCGGAAGAGAAAGGUUUUUGCGCUGCAAUUCAAAUGAACAUUGAUCAGAUCCACGAAAUCGUCCAAAUGUGUCCAGGAGCUGGCUCUAAGGGAAGUUCUGAUGAUCCUUCUCUCCGCCAAUGGAUAUAUUUUGUCUAAGGCAAGUUUUAAACUUCCAAAACUAGACUACUACAGUGAUGAUUUGGCUGGAGUCUAUGGAGCCAAGUUUACUCCUAUGUACAAAAUACAAGGAGGAAAGGUGACUCAAGGAUUGGCAGCGUAGAACAUGGCCAGGAGGUCAGGACUAUCACAUUGGAGCAUACUCAGGUUGCAUUUGGUUCCCUUCCAGAAACCAGAAAUUAAUCGAGUACGAAGGAAAUAAGAUGAUAUUUUUGUGUAGAUCCAUGAUGCCUUCUUUCCUGUCCCGUCGACUUCAGAUUUUUGUAAGAGCAGUCACUCCGGUUUGUGUAAAGGACAUUUGAAAUUCGCGUUGAGCUGGUUGAGCCUCCAAAAUCUGCUGCCACGGGGAAGAAGGUAACCUUUCCAGGGCACUCGGGAGAGCCAGAGUCUUCUCUUAACGCCAAGAGUAAGAGUUGGAAGAAGUUAUCUGCUGACCUGCACAUCAACAACAAGUUUGUGGCAUGCCUCAAAGGUGGUUCACAACUUCGGUUGGGGUAUGCAAGGUCAAGAAGACAGACUGCAUGAAUCGGACAUACAAAAAUUGAGGCUGGGGUAUGCAAGGCAAGACUACAAAUACUAUGAUAAAUUAUGAUAUACUAUUUGAUCCGAUGUUCCAUGGAAUCAUGGUGUGUAACAUGCAUUAAAUGAUAGCCGAGGGACAACUAUUGUAGCCUGUGAAGAGAAGCAAUAAUAUGGUGAAUAUCUUCUAAGAUAGCUGAAUGAGAAGAACAGAUAAAUUGAUGUGUGCGGGAUACAUUUUGCCAACUGGGCUUUGUGAUGAUUUGGAUAUAACGUAGUGAAGGAACCUGAAGGUUCUCAUGUAUUCUUAAGUAUGAA